GGGGGGCUGCUCCUAGUACGAGAGGACCGGAGUGGACGCAUCACUGGUGUUCGGGUUGUCAUGCCAAUGGCACUGCCCGGUAGCUAAAUGCGGAAGAGAUAAGUGCUGAAAGCAUCUAAGCACGAAACUUGCCCCGAGAUGAGUUCUCCCUGAGACUUAGAGUCUCCUGAAGGAACGUUGAAGACGACGACGUUGAUAGGCCGGGUGUGUAAGCGCAGCGAUGCGUUGAGCUAACCGGUACUAAUGAACCGUGAGGCUUAACCUUACAACGCCGAAG
RNAcentral lists this ribosomal RNA (277 nucleotides) under Salmonella enterica. RNAcentral's name for it is "partial 23S ribosomal RNA". It matches the Rfam family "Bacterial large subunit ribosomal RNA", at positions 2666 to 2925 of the family's 2925-position model. RNAcentral also lists the same sequence under 2 other names. Lineage: Bacteria; Pseudomonadati; Pseudomonadota; Gammaproteobacteria; Enterobacterales; Enterobacteriaceae. The record is from RNAcentral.